RNAcentral lists this ribosomal RNA (253 nucleotides) under uncultured bacterium. RNAcentral's name for it is "partial 16S ribosomal RNA". It matches the Rfam family "Bacterial small subunit ribosomal RNA", at positions 524 to 776 of the family's 1533-position model. The record is from RNAcentral.
UACGUAGGGUGCAAGCGUUGUCCGGAAUUAUUGGGCGUAAAGAGCUUGUAGGCGGUUUGUCGCGUCUGCUGUGAAAUUUCGGGGCUCAACCCCGAACUUGCAGUGGGUACGGGCAGACUAGAGUGUGGUAGGGGAGACUGGAAUUCCUGGUGUAGCGGUGAAAUGCGCAGAUAUCAGGAGGAACACCGAUGGCGAAGGCAGGUCUCUGGGCCACUACUGACGCUGAGAAACGAAAGCAUGGGGAGCGAACAGG